This is a long non-coding RNA of Lingula anatina, 389 nucleotides long. NCBI's taxonomy places the organism in Eukaryota, Metazoa, Brachiopoda, Lingulata, Lingulida, Lingulidae. The record is from RefSeq and is a predicted model, not a curated record.
GUUAGUGACAUGCAAGGGUGAAAACAUCAAGGAUUGUCCACUGACAUUCAAGGUGUUUGCCAACAGAAAUUCUAUCACAGUGCCAGAGAUAGGACACUGUAAGCUGGGCAGUCCUAACACUAUCACGAUUGACAGUAGGAAGGCAGGCCAGGUGGAGCUGAAGGUGGAAGCCAGAGCUCCCAGUGGACGAAUUAUGCACCUCUCCACCAAGGAGACAAAUGGAGUACACGUGGCAGAGUUUGUCCCUAAUGAAAUUGGCGACUGGCAGAUUUCUGUGAUGUAUGACGGAGACCACGUCAGCGGCAGUCCUAAAACAAUUAAGGUGUUUGACACCAGUAAUGUCAAGAUCUAUGGUCUGGAGGCUGGACAAGUAGGAGAACCCAUGCACU